This 381-nucleotide ribosomal RNA is filed under the name uncultured bacterium. Its description in RNAcentral is "bacterial SSU rRNA". It matches the Rfam family "Bacterial small subunit ribosomal RNA", at positions 524 to 903 of the family's 1533-position model. The record is from RNAcentral.
UACGGAGGGUGCGAGCGUUGUUCGGAAUUACUGGGCGUAAAGGGCGUGUAGGCGGCGAUUUAAGUCGGGUGUGAAAGUCCAGGGCUCGACCUUGGGAGUGCAUCUGAAACUGGAUUGCUUGAGUAUGGGAGAGGGAAGUGGAAUUCCCGGUGUAGAGGUGAAAUUCGUAGAUAUCGGGAGGAACACCUGUGGCGAAAGCGACUUCCUGGACCAAUACUGACGCUAAGGCGCGAAAGCGUGGGGAGCAAACAGGAUUAGAUACCCUGGUAGUCCACGCUGUAAACGAUGAGCACUAGGUGUGGGAGGUAUUGACCCCUUCUGCGCCGUAGCUAACGCAUUAAGUGCUCCGCCUGGGGAGUACGGCCGCAAGGUUAAAACUCA